Molecule: ribosomal RNA, 253 nt
Filed under: uncultured bacterium
Lineage: Bacteria
Description: partial 16S ribosomal RNA
Rfam family: Bacterial small subunit ribosomal RNA
Source: RNAcentral
UACAGAGGGUGCGAGCGUUAAUCGGAAUCAUUGGGCGUAAAGGGUGCGUAGGUGGCUGAAUAAGUCAGAUGUGAAAUCCCUGGGCUUAACCUAGGAAUUGCAUUUGGUACUGUCUAGCUAGAGUACAGUAGAGGAAAGUGGAAUUUCCGGUGUAGCGGUGAAAUGCGUAGAUAUCGGAAGGAACAUCAGUGGCGAAGGCGACUUUCUGGACUGUUACUGACACUGAGGCACGAAAGCGUGGGGAGCGAACAGG